AUAUUUGCCUGGCGCAGAGGUUACCGUGAUCAGGAAGACAGUUCCUCCAAGAUUCUUCCAUUGCACUACGAUCAAACUGUCUUGCGAAGAUAUCCCUAAAGUGGAUAUCUCGAGCGUAUAAUUUUUGGUAAUAAAAUGCUGGCAUUUAA
Molecule: small nuclear RNA, 149 nt
Filed under: Atta cephalotes
Lineage: Eukaryota; Metazoa; Arthropoda; Insecta; Hymenoptera; Formicidae
Description: U1 spliceosomal RNA
Rfam family: U1 spliceosomal RNA
About the family: U1 is a small nuclear RNA (snRNA) component of the spliceosome (involved in pre-mRNA splicing).
Source: Rfam by way of RNAcentral